This 254-nucleotide ribosomal RNA is filed under the name uncultured bacterium. RNAcentral describes it as "partial 16S ribosomal RNA". It matches the Rfam family "Bacterial small subunit ribosomal RNA", at positions 524 to 776 of the family's 1533-position model. The record is from RNAcentral.
UACGGGGGGAGCAAGCGUUGUUCGGAUUUACUGGGCGUAAAGGGCGCGUAGGCGGCCACCGCAAGUCAACUGUGAAAUCUCCGGGCUUAACCCGGAAAGGUCAGCCGAUACUGCGGGGCUAGAGUGCAGAAGGGGCAACUGGAAUUCUCGGUGUAGCGGUGAAAUGCGUAGAUAUCGAGAGGAACACCUGCGGCGAAGGCGGGUUGCUGGGCUGACACUGACGCUGAUGUGCGAAAGCUAGGGGAGCGAACGGG